UAAGUUUCAGAACCCUAAUUAAAGGCCUCAAGCCCUCAACUAUAAAUGGUGAGCAGAUCAACUGAAAAAACUCAACGGUCCCUUGCUGUCUAGCCACUUCCCGCCGCGCUCUGCGUCAUUGGUCUCAAGGAAUCUCCCCACUUACCGCCGAUUUAUGUCAUUGAUCUCACAGAUUUUGCUGUCGCCACCUCUCGCUUGUCUAUGUGUGGUUAGAGUUUGUUGAAACUUAAAAAUCGACUAUGGAGAACCUCCCAGACGAAGUUUUAUCAAACAUUUUGAAGAUGAUUCAUAUCAGCGAGAUGGUGGAAUGUCAAAAGGCAACACAUCAGAUCUACUUCUUCCAUUUUUGUUAUAUCUACUCUGCAUGAUUCUAUGUUUCUUGAUUAGUUUCCUGUCAAGUAUCAAUUUUUAGUGCAUCACAUCUACUCCCACUCUUGUUACCA
This is a non-coding RNA of Lactuca sativa (garden lettuce), 443 nucleotides long. NCBI's taxonomy places the organism in Eukaryota, Viridiplantae, Streptophyta, Magnoliopsida, Asterales, Asteraceae. The record is from RefSeq and is a predicted model, not a curated record.